CCUACGGGCGGCAGCGGGGAAUAUUGGACAAUGGGGGCAACCCUGAUCCAGCCAUGCCGCGUGUGUGAAGAAGGCCCUCGGGUUGUAAAGCACUUUCAGUGAGGAAGAACGCCUGGUGGUUAAUACCCAUCAGGAAAGACAUCACUCACAGAAGAAGCACCGGCUAACUCCGUGCCAGCAGCCGCGGUAAUACGGAGGGUGCGAGAGUUAAUCGGAAUUACGGGGCGUAAAGCGCGCGUAGGUGGCUUGAUAAGCCGGUUGUGAAAGCCCCGGGCUCAACCUGGGAACGGCAUCCGGAACUGUCAAGCUAGAGUGCAGGAGAGGAAGGUAGAAUUCCCGGUGUAGCGGUGAAAUGCGUAGAGAUCGGGAGGAAUACCAGUGGCGAAGGCGGCCUUCUGGACUGACACUGACACUGAGGUGCGAAAGCGUGGGUAGCAAACAGGAUUAGAUACCCUAGUAGUC
RNAcentral lists this ribosomal RNA (462 nucleotides) under Vreelandella stevensii. Its description in RNAcentral is "partial 16S ribosomal RNA". It matches the Rfam family "Bacterial small subunit ribosomal RNA", at positions 338 to 795 of the family's 1533-position model. The record is from RNAcentral. Lineage: Bacteria; Pseudomonadati; Pseudomonadota; Gammaproteobacteria; Oceanospirillales; Halomonadaceae.